This 23-nucleotide non-coding RNA is filed under the name Rattus norvegicus (Norway rat). Lineage: Eukaryota; Metazoa; Chordata; Mammalia; Rodentia; Muridae. The record is from RNAcentral.
AUACGUGCAGAGGAAAUUGGUUU